This 38-nucleotide non-coding RNA is filed under the name Schistosoma mattheei. The record is from RNAcentral. Lineage: Eukaryota; Metazoa; Platyhelminthes; Trematoda; Strigeidida; Schistosomatidae.
AUCCAGCUGACGAGUAGGACGAAACGCGCGUCCUAGAU